Molecule: ribosomal RNA, 253 nt
Filed under: uncultured bacterium
Lineage: Bacteria
Description: partial 16S ribosomal RNA
Rfam family: Bacterial small subunit ribosomal RNA
Source: RNAcentral
UACGAGGGGGGCAAGCGUUGUUCGGAAUUAUUGGGCGUAAAGGGUGCGUAGGCGGUUUUGUAAGUCUUGUGUGAAAUCUUCAGGCUCAACUUGAAGACUGCACGAGAAACUGCAGGGCUUGAGUGUGGGAGAGGAGAGUGGAAUUCCUGGUGUAGCGGUGAAAUGCGCAGAUAUCAGGAAGAACACCCGUGGCGAAGGCGGCUCUCUGGGACGGUACUGACGCUGAGACGCGAAAGCGUGGGGAGCGAACAGG